Molecule: ribosomal RNA, 258 nt
Filed under: uncultured bacterium
Lineage: Bacteria
Description: partial 16S ribosomal RNA
Rfam family: Bacterial small subunit ribosomal RNA
Source: RNAcentral
UACGUAGGGGCAAGCGUUGGUCCGGAUUCAUUGGGCGUAAAGAGCGUGUAGGCGGCCAGGUAGGUCGGUUGUGAAAACUGGAGGCUCAACCUUCAGAGGUCGACCGAAACCAUCUGGCUAGAGUCCGGGAGAGGAGAGUGGAAUUCCUGGUGUAGCGGUGAAAUGCGCAGAUAUCAGGAAGAACACCCGUGGCGAAAGCGGCUCUCUGGAACGGUACUGACGCUGAGACGCGAAAAGCCGUGGGGGAGCGAAACAGGG